This 4187-nucleotide long non-coding RNA is filed under the name Sus scrofa (pig). RNAcentral's name for it is "lncRNA (ENSSSCG00000053145.1)". The record is from RNAcentral. Lineage: Eukaryota; Metazoa; Chordata; Mammalia; Artiodactyla; Suidae.
ACGGAGAGGAAAAGCCGGGGCACGCAAGUGGCGAUCGGAAAAGCGGAGGGAGAUCUUCUCUUCUACUACCGCUAGAUUCUCGGUCUUAAUACUCCACUUUGUCCUCGAAGACCGGUAAUUUUUUCCCAAAACCUUCAAACCAAUCGGCUGCCAACUUAAAGGGAGCCAGAGCGCUCCGAGCUCUCCUUCAAGGAUUUAGGAUGUGUCUCCGCUCGCUUUUGCAAUGAGAUAUAAAUGAAAAGACAUACUCUCACUUCAUGAUUAGUAAGAAAUUAUUUUGAGGAAAAUCCAUAUGGAAGCAAAGCGUAUGUUUCAUGCGUCUGGUUAUUUUCUCUGUCGAUUCAAUUAUUUAUUUAAAGAUAGUGAAAACGCCAGGAGAGUUUUCAAGUUGUGGGGGAAAAGUCAGUCUGAAAUCGCUUAAGAAUAAUGGAGUGCUCUCUAUUCAAUUCCUUAUUUCCUAAUUGUGGAAAGAAAGAAAUGCUUGCCAUGAUGUGGAUGAUUCGGAAUAACUUCAUUUUUGCCCCAAAGCCAGGUCAGAAAUGUCUAUUAUACUGGGAGAAUUCGAGAUCAGGCACCCUCGAAGGUUUAGAAAGUGGGGAGGGGAAAAAAGAACAUCCUAAUUUUUUCUUCCCUAACUCCAUAACUAAUUCACCUGUCUUGCACAGACACCAACAAUCCUCAAGUCCUUUAAGACCCAAGGCUAGUUGCUAAUGUGAUAUGUGAAUAACAAUACAUAGAUGUAUAUAUUGUAUUUGAAAAGUAACAGUGUAUUCUGGGAAGGUCCUUCUCAGUUUGUCAGUAAAAAAUAUGUUUUGUAAAUAAUGAAAAGAACACAAACAAAGCUCACUAGUUCACUUGUAAAGGCAGAACGGAUAGCUAUGCUUAAAAACCUCAUGAAGCUGGGUUGAGACUCACUCUCUUCCUCUUUGCCUUUCUCUCUCCUUUUCUUCCCCUUUCUAACUUGUUGCAUGAAGGUACUAUUUAUUCAAGGAUUUUUGACCAUAGGUCAAGUCUGUUCUCUGUUUGUAUCUCUAGGAUUCUUAAAUAAUUGGGCUUUAAACCUGUCUGCACAUAUUCAUCAACUCCACAAGAUAGAAACAAUGCUUUAGCAUUUGACAGAUUUUAAAAAUAAAUUAUUAGGACCAGGAUCACAGUGUAGUGUUGAAAUUAUUCUCACAUUUCUUUUUAUCAUUUUUAUCCUUUAACCUUUUUGAAGUUGAGUGCCAAAAGUUGCAGGAAGUAUUUAUAGAGAAAUAUGGCACUAUUGACUAAUUUGUCUAAGUUUAUACUAAACUUUUGGGGGCAUAGAAGUUAUAUCAGGAAGCUUUCCUGGGUCAGAAGAACUCAGAAAAUUGAUUGUUACCAAAAAGUAGAUUAACUUCUGCAAAGAUAGCUAAAGUUUAUGCAGCUGUUUUACCUAGUUAGCCAAUGUAUUUUAACAUAUCCAGAAAUAAUGUAUAUUCAUUUUCACUCCUCUUAUCUGACUUCAGUUAAAAAUAAGGACUGGAUAUACAUCACAUACAUCAGAACACUUCUUUAAAUGUUUAUGUCUGUAUUGGACGAUAUCGCCUUUUUUAAAAAAUGUCAACCUGCUAUGUUAAAGAGUGGAGGUGAGGAGAAGAUAUUAAGCCCUAAGAAACUGAUUUUAUUUUCGAAUUGCAUGUAGAACUUUAAUAAACUCUGCUGUGGUUUUAAAAAUGUUAAACUAACUUCUUCAUAAAUUCUACCCACAAAUGAAAAAAAAAGGGGGGGGAUUCAAUGUCUUAAAUCGACCCUUAGCAUUCUCAUUCUUCAUAUUUCCUUUAACUGUCACUCAUCCCAUACCUGCCACAUUCAGAAGCCAGGGACAGGAAGUAAUGAUAGCAGACCAAACCAUUAUCCCACCUAGCUUCAAAGCAAACUCCAAAUUUUCUGCAGGGAAGCCUGCCCUUUCAGCACUUGCUCCUUUCAAAAGCAGGGCUUGGGGCAUUCCCCCUACACACACCUAAAUGGGAGCUUCCUCCCCCUCCCCCUCCAUCUCACAUCCCUAAACAUUUUUUUUUUUUUUAGAAACUACUCACCUCUUUGAUCAAACAAUAGGAUUAGAAAAAAUAUAUAAUGCAAAUUAAAAUCUAUAGGAAAGAAAAACCUGGAAAAUUUUAAAAUUUCUUUUCUCUCCUUUUUUUUUUUUUUCAAGAAAGAUUACCAAUGAUUAAGGCAAACAGUAUUUAACAGCAGAUAAAGAACAGCACAGAUUUCAAAUUCCCACUCUUUCCAUCACAUCAUUUGCUUUCAAAGCUUUUGUCUUGUUUGUUUAUUGUUUUACAUCUCUGGUAGUUUCAGGUCCUCUCCUUCCAGCUCCUCUUCUCCAACCUGCACUCAAUUUGCAUAAGCAAAACUCAAAGUACUGUAACUGAUAUUAGAAAAUUCUCCCUGUGUGUUGUGAAGAUGUAUUGUGCUGAAAUCAAUAAGACUGUUUAAAAUUCAAAGACCUGCAAAUCGUUCUGUUUGUCCUUUGAUAGGGCCUGUGCUGAUUAAAAUGCUACCAAGAAAGCUUAAUUGCUGCACUAAUUAAGAAGUCUUUAAUUUCUUUCCUAGGAUAUCGUUUGAAGCUGAGCUUGUACCAGUUCAGGGAAGGUAUUUUCUUCCCUCCCUCUGCCCCCUCCUGGCCCCUCCCUUCCCCUUCCUCCUCCUGCCGUGCCCCCACGAUAUCCCUGUGAAUGGGAACUAAUAGAGAGAGUGGUCUCAGGGCUCACCAUCUAUUACUUAACAAAAAUCGGCACAGGAGACAGAGUUCAAUGCAGUAUGAAACGCAGUUUUGAGAAGAGCUGUAAGGUUUCAGGAGACAGUGAGAAAAUACAGAGUAGCUGUUGCAGCUAAAGUCCCGGUGAAUACCUGGAUGACAACAGGCGCUUUAGCCUGAAGAUGAGGGCAUCCUAUUUGGUUAAGAGGGGCAGUGACAAGGAAAUGCUUCUAUGGAAACAGGGGAACAUAACAAUAUACUUUCAAAACCUGUGGUUUUAAAAAAGAAGAAUAAAUCUGUAGAAAGGUGGACUUAGAAUUGGGAGUUGGUAAGUAUCGUUUUAUUUUAUGAGUUUAAAAACAUGAAUUCUAUGGGGAUUCAUUUUUGACCCUUUUUAUAACCCAGGGAGGCAGAGCACUGUAUUACAUCCAUCCAUCCUUAUCUAUUGACCUAUUUUAUUCACUGAUUUCUCAAGUGGGGAAACUGACUAAAGGAUUUCACAAAGCUUUCUCUGUAAUCAAUAGUCAUUUUUAAGGUUUAUUCAUGCUGCAUUAUAAUUCUGGUAAAUGACUGUGAAGCAGAAGAUUGUAAGAAAGAUACAAAUAUUGACAAAGCCAGGAUAAGUCAUGUCUUUAAAUCUUUAGUGUUUCCAUAUAGCAAUGGAUAUAGUUAAGAUCGAAAAUGUAGAUUUCAUAGAAUAUUUUAAAAAAACUAAAUGAUUAACUUAAAGGCAAUCCUAUCUGAAGGUUUCUUGAAUAUCUCAAAAUUUCCUGAAAGCUUUGAGUAUCCUCUUUUUAUACCAUCACUAAAUGAAACAGAAACAAUUGGGGGGAUAUGCAGAAAGGGCAACAAGAAGAGGUUCCUUGCAAUUUUAUCCUUUUAAUUUAACCUGUCCCCGAGUUCUAUUAGAAGCAUGCACGGAAAAAUACAGAUGUAUACUUCAGAUAUAUUCUGAAUUCUUUUCAGUGACAGGACAAGGAGAUAACAUGCCUAAUAGAUUCAAAGGGAUACUUACCAUUCCGAGCACGACGUCACUCUAAUUAUGUUUACUCUAAUUGAAAGCAAGGUUUUUUGGAAUCUGAAAUUACUUUCAGAAUUUUUUUUUUUAAAUAAUGCAAGUGGAUCAAAUGUUGAUCACAAGCAUUUCAAUCUUUCAAAAUGUAUUGGAAAAUUAAAUGAAAAGUGGAGUUUGGUACAAACAAUGCCCCAGGGCAAAAAACAACUAACACUAGAUUUUCCAGUCCAGCCAUAACACAAAUCAAUUUGAGCACACUUCUAUGGCCAGACUGCCAGAUUGUUAUGACUGCUAAUUCACUCAAUCAAAGAGUGCAUUAGCACACCCGGCACAAAUAGCUUUAACAAUGGGGUGCACUUCUGAACAAUUCUAAGAUAUAUCACAACGGAGAAGUAAAGAGGAAGAUCGUUUUUACAUCUGCAUGUUUACUAAUGGACUUGUUUCCUUAAU